UGUGGCUGUGUGUGUGACGUGUAUGUCUAUCUCAUGUCUGUAUGUUCCUAAUUAAAAAAGUAAAAAUUGAAAUCCUUAACAAGACAGACAAAAGUAGAUGGGCCUCCAAGUCUCGAUUAAGUCAGCAGGGAAAAAGACCUACAUUUGAAAACUUACCACUAAACUUUCAAAUUACUGAGUAAAAUAAAACUAUGUCUUGCCUUCCCCAACAUUCACAUCUACAAUGUGGUGAAGUGUCCUGCCUGGAGAAUACAAUAAUUAUUUCAGCUCCUGUUUCAUACUCUUUUGGUAAUUGUUAACGUAAACUUAAGUCUGAGGUGUAACGUGUGCAUUAAAACCAGAUACCGUUGUGACUGAUCCUAACAUACAAUGUUCUCUAAUGACAAGGCAUUUUCAGUAAAGACCAAACCCUGCUUGCCCCAGGAGAAGGGUGGGUCGGGAAUGUGCCCUGCGUCCUGUUCUGGUCUGGGUCGGCUCCUGCGUUUCUGGAGAAAUGAAUCAGUUUUCAACAAGAAGAUCAAGAGAACGAGACAGAGGAAACCUGUAUCAAGAUGAUGAAAACAAGGCUCCAAGAGCCCUUCUGAGAGAUCCAGCGGCAGCAGCAGGGCCGAGAUGCAUGCCCAGGGCUGUCUGAUUGCAGAAGCCAUGAGCUUGCCUUCAUGCCAGCGUCUCUCAAGAGACUCCGUACCAUUUAAACUGUAGGCUUGACACCCAGCACGAAGCCCAG
Molecule: long non-coding RNA, 727 nt
Organism: Mustela erminea (ermine)
Lineage: Eukaryota; Metazoa; Chordata; Mammalia; Carnivora; Mustelidae
Exons: 3
Source: RefSeq, a predicted model, not a curated record